GGAAGGGUGAGCUGUUGAACCUUAUCUUCUUUGAACCUACCGUUGUUCCCAACAAGGUCUUCUAAAGGGCUUACCUGUCCGUCUGGCUGGCAGCAUACACCUUGCAGAACAGGUGUGAGAAGAGCAAGAGCCUUUGGAAGACUAGGAGCUUCUUCUUUUCCUCUUGAAGUGAAAACAAGUCAUAGAAACAAGGUUCCGCGCGGUCUCCUUGUCGUCCUGGUAACGUCCCCAUUCUGCAUCUCCUAACCUCCUCUCCCCAGGCUGCCCCUUUCCCGCUGUCCAUCUGCAGAUACACUGCUGAGUACGUAGAGCACUUCGUGUUCUGUAAUUUCCGUGCCUGGAUGUUUCUCUUGAGGCUCGUUCCACAUCGGCUGUAUAUUUUGCUGUCACCACGGCACCUGGACAGGUCAGUUGU
Molecule: long non-coding RNA, 415 nt
Filed under: Ursus maritimus (polar bear)
Lineage: Eukaryota; Metazoa; Chordata; Mammalia; Carnivora; Ursidae
Description: lncRNA (ENSUMAG00000019380.1)
Source: RNAcentral